Molecule: ribosomal RNA, 425 nt
Filed under: uncultured bacterium
Lineage: Bacteria
Description: bacterial SSU rRNA
Rfam family: Bacterial small subunit ribosomal RNA
Source: RNAcentral
AGGGAAUCUUCCGCAAUGGACGAAAGUCUGACGGAGCAACGCCGCGUGAGUGAAGAAGGUUUUCGGAUCGUAAAACUCUGUUGUUAGGGAAGAACAAGUCAGGUAGUAACUGACCUGACCUUGACGGUACCUAACCAGAAAGCCACGGCUAACUACGUGCCAGCAGCCGCGGUAAUACGUAGGUGGCAAGCGUUGUCCGGAUUUAUUGGGCGUAAAGCGCUCGCAGGCGGUCUUUUAAGUCUGAUGUGAAAGCCCACGGCUUAACCGUGGAGGGUCAUUGGAAACUGGAGGACUUGAGUGCAGAAGAGGAGAGUGGAAUUCCAUGUGUAGCGGUGAAAUGCGUAGAGAUAUGGAGGAACACCAGUGGCGAAGGCGACUCUCUGGUCUGUAACUGACGCUGAGGAGCGAAAGCGUGGGUAGCGAAC